RNAcentral lists this ribosomal RNA (444 nucleotides) under Acanthura mattogrossensis. Its description in RNAcentral is "eukaryotic LSU rRNA". The stretch from base 144 to 299 matches the Rfam family "5.8S ribosomal RNA". The record is from RNAcentral. Lineage: Eukaryota; Viridiplantae; Streptophyta; Magnoliopsida; Lamiales; Acanthaceae.
GCGUGUGCGCCGCUCGGGCUAACGAACCCCGGCGCGGAAAGCGCCAAGGAAAACCGUAACGAAGCGCUCGCACCCCCGCCCGCUCCCCCGUUCGCGGCGUGUGCGCGGGUGGGGGUGGCCGAGCGCCUCCUCAAUGUCAAAACGACUCUCGGCAACGGAUAUCUCGGCUCUCGCAUCGAUGAAGAACGUAGCGAAAUGCGAUACUUGGUGUGAAUUGCAGAAUCCCGUGAACCAUCGAGUCUUUGAACGCAAGUUGCGCCCGAAGCCUUCGGGCCGAGGGCACGCCUGCCUGGGCGUCACGCAUCGCGUCGCCCCCCCUCCCUCGCCCCUUCCCGGGGGUGACGACGGAGGGUGGUGCGGACACUGGCCUCCCGUGCGCCCGAGGCGCGCGGCCGGCCCAAAUGCGAUCCCCCGGCGGCGCCCGUCGCGACCAGUGGUGGUUGA